GAUCCAUCUCUGCCUGUAUUGGCUUGGAUUCUGCAAAGCCUACAGGCUGGAAUGGGCUCA
This is a microRNA precursor of Homo sapiens (human), 60 nucleotides long. Lineage: Eukaryota; Metazoa; Chordata; Mammalia; Primates; Hominidae. The record is from Ensembl.